CCUGGGUCUUCGGUACGAUGAGCGAACGCUUUAGCCACUAGGCUACCACCCACCCCACCCCCAUUUUCAUAUUGCGUGUUACGUUACAGUGGUAUGUUAUUAGAUGACAGAGAUUGUCAUAUUGUCACAUUUUGAUGUUGCGUGUCACGUCACAGUGGUGUCUCCUCAGAUGGAGAUUGUCAUAUUGUCGCAUUUUCAUGUUGCGUGUCACGUCACAGUGGUGUCUCUUCAGAUGAGGGAGAUUGUCAUAUUGUCACAUUUUCAUGUUGCGUGUCUCGUCACAGUGGUGUCUCCUCAGAUGAGGGAGAUUGUCAUACUGUCACAUUUUGAUGUUGCAUGUCACAUCACAGUGGUGUCUCUUCAGAUGAGGGAGAUUGUCAUAUUGUCACAUUCUGAUGUUGCGUGUCACGUCACAGUGGUGUCUCUUCAGAUGAGGGAGAUUGUCAUAUUGUCACAUUCUGAUGUUGCGUGUCACGUUACAGAUGACCCUGAUGCCAGGACAGGACCGUUCCCCAUAGAGAAGUUGUCGCCUACGACUCGACACAACCUGCACUCAAUGAUUGACAUACUAGCUUCAGGUGAAGCCACUCUGGAAAAAGAUGACACAGGAAAAGUGACAGUGGCCUACAAAGACACACGGAAAAUUCCCGUUUUGAGCCAUGUGGACAAAUCAAGAAGCAAUGUGAUACACGUAUCAAAGACUGACAAAGAUCGCCAGAACCAGGUGAAAGUGUGCCUAGAAAUGAUAGACUUCAUAAAGACCAACAGGGCCCCGAAAGGUGUGGACUUUGAUCAGACAAAGGUCAAACUCAGCACAACUGGUAAAUAUCGUGAAGGUCAUGAGUUUACCAAACUGCUGAAGGAGAUUCUGGGUAAGGGAGCCACUGCUGGAGAUAUAGUGGUCGUCAAGGACACCGAGACUGGCACCGAGCAUGCUCAGAAAACAGUGAUGAUAUCCGACUUUCGGACUGAUGAGGUUCGGGCAUGGGUGGAUCUGCAGGAAUUGAAACUGGAGGGAGAAGCCUUGUGUCCAGCUUUGUUUUGUUUCUAUCUGCAAGAUAAUGAGAUCUUCUUCCACAUGGAGAAACUGGAUAGAGCUAUAACCCUUCGAGAUGUUAUUGACAGUCAUAUGCAGAAGAUAAGAGAUGAAGAGCCAAGCCUAGUCCGUCCCUUCUCGCUCUACAUCUGCCAUGGACUUCUGUCUGCUGUGAGUCUCAUCCAUGACAAGAACUGGACGCAUCGAGAUCUGCACGCUGGAAACGUGAUGGUGCAGGAGAAGAACCACAAGUUGUCCCUGAAGGUGCUGGACUUUGGGAAGGCUCAUCCCUUACGUGGGGAAUCUUAUGACCUUCGGGGUGAACUAGAUGACAUCUACCAGAUCAUCCGUCUGUUCAGCGCCAUCUAUGUAGGAGACGAGUUCGAAAGUGCCAAGCACAUGAAAGACAGCUAUAAGCAAAGUGAACUUAUCGAAACAUUAUCUUCAGAUGAUAAAAAGGAGAUGUUUCAGCUGAUUGAUGCAUUAUUAUGUGUUGCUGAGAGUGAACACAAGAUGGACAAUGCUUUAAAAGAAUUAGAAACAAAGAUGGAGAGCACAGAUAUCCAUGACAUGCUGAAGAAAGUGGCAGCUAUUCUGUUCCGUGAAUCUGAUUACAAGUCCUUACACGAGAACGACCUUGGAGUAAAGUCCGAGAGGGAGAGGAUGUGUGUGACUCAGUCACUGAUCUGAGCGAACGAGCUGCAAGCAUCCCAGAUGACUUCAUCAGUGAACUACGUCUUGGCAUCAAAGUCCGAAGCAUGAUGUAGAUAUUCGCAGCUCAUGGCAUCACCUGCAGACUAUGACGCCUGCCAUUCAACUCAUGUCAACCAGGAAGUGGUGAAAAGCAGCCAAUCUGUGGUAUAUCUUGACUACUUUUUACUGAAUGUGAUAUUGUCCACUGGAAGUCUCCAAGGAGUAGAUACAUAGAGGUCAGUGCAACAUGAAUGAGAAGAUCUUGCCACCAAGGGGUCUGUAACUCCAAUGUUUUGAAGUGGACUUAACAUAUUCACAGCUCUAGUCAAUACUUCCUAAGGCUUUGUUACAACUGUAGUGGUUCACGUAACAACAGUGAAGUUUUUAGUGAAUAAGUGAUACUUCUGUUUUACAACAGUCUGGUCCUGUAACAGUCACAUGUCCUUGUUACAACAUCUGGUCCUGUAACAGAUACAUGUCCUUGUUACAACAGUCUGGUCCUGUAACAGAUACAUGUCCUUGUUACAACAGUCUGGUCCUGUAACAGAUACAUGUCCUUGUUACAACAGUCUGGUCCUGUAACAGAUACAUGUCCUUGUUACAACAGUACUACAACUUUUGAUUUCUCAGCAAGGGCUAAUGAGAACAUGAUUAAAGUUCUUUCAUUAUAAUCUUCUUGCAUCAGUUUGUUGAACUCCACCUUUUUGCCCAAAGUGUCCUUUUAAUCAUGCAUAAUCUUCAACAUGCAUGGUGUCUUUUAUAAGCAUUUAUAUCCGUUGUUGAUAAUCAUGGGUACUUUAUUCCAUCAAUCAUAUUUGAAUGGUGCUAAUUUAAGAGUUUUCUAUGAUGGCCUUUACACCACAGUCCAUCUGAAUAUAUCUACAGAUUACAACACGUGGUCAUAUACUGUUGAAGGUCUGAGUGUAUUGUCCAUGUUAGUGAGCCAACCAAAGACAGCAGACAUACUUAAAACCAUUUUGUGAUUUUACUGGCUCUUCUUUUAGAUACAGUAAACUAUGUUUGUAAUGAACACACAUAUAAUGAACUCACAGAUACACGGAACCGUGUUUUCGGUUCCCUGACACUUGGUGUAUAUUUUACUUGGAAGACGAACUACAGUUCCUUUGGGUUCGUUGUAACCAUAGUUUACUGUCAGAGAGCUUAUUUGAUAAGGAUUGGUAGUGUAGUUUUAUAGUUGCUGUUUGACACUACUUGUAGGAUCUGGACCAGAUAGUUCCUUGUGAUAUUCUGCAAAGAACCUUUCUGUCAGGAUGUGAUAACACACUGUCAUCCUAGUCAUAGAGCCUAGCCUCCUGAUUCCUGAAGUUAUCUCUCAAGCUAUAAGUUUAGAUUUCUGUAAGAGAUUUCUGUUUCACCAGCGAUACAAGGUUGAUGUUCACAGUGAUGCAACCAGACUCAAGAAUUCAUGGACUAAAUGUUCAGUAAACAGUUUGACGUUAUUUAGUUAGUCUUAAUGUUUGGUCAAGGAUAUGUCAUUCACAAUUCAUCAAUGACUUACUGUUCACGAAUGAAUUUUUCAUUUUCUCAAAAUAUGUUUUUCAGGGGUUUUUUUCUGGUACUUUAAAUGUCUGGGUGAUUAAAACAGUUAAAAGUGUAAAACUGGUCUCAGAUUGCUGUGGCAUGUUGUACUUGGUGAACUGUAUCAGUAUUCUAUCACAAUCACGUGAUUACACUAGCCUUGGUAGAAGCAUUGCUUCUAUGCAUUUACGCAAUAACGUGUGAUGACUGUAUUGGUAUACCUGUAUACUGCUAUGUUUUUAUGAUGAUGUAUAUCGCAAUAUUUUGUUUUGUUUUGGUGUGUUGGGUAGAAACUGUACUGCAAGUUUCCUUAUUAUUGGUAUCAUUUGCCAUAAAGUCUAUACAGAAAUUCAUUCUCAAAUUUGAGAAGUCACGAGUGAUUUUUCUGUUAGGGUGGCAUCGACUGACAGUACUUACUUUGGUGUAAUGAUAUUUAAUUUAGUAUGUAGAAUAUAAGAUGUACAUGUACAGUGUCAGUCCCUGCUAAGUGCUGAAGUACCUAAUUUUUAAAUUUAUCCCAUCUCACGGUAUGCACCUCUCUUCUUCUUCUAUGACCAUGUGUGGAAAUGUGCUGAGCGAUCUGCACGCUUAUUGAGAUGAUUGACUGGUACUGCUAUCAGAGUUGGGGCAGAGGUCAGGUGGUCAGAGGCCGGAAGUUUUGAUUCAACUUAGCCUACAGCACGUUUCCACACAUGGUCGUAGAAGAAGAAGAGAGGUGCAUACCGUGAGAUAGGAUAAGCAUAUAAAUAUACAAUUUAUAGUAAAAUUUCCAAAUAUAUUACUAAACAAUGUUUUUCGUAGUUUGGUUGGGGGGUGGGGGGUGUUAACCUAGUGGGUUAGAGCUUUCUCUUGUAAAUUCCCCACAUUGGUAUAAUAUGUGAAGCCCAUUUUUGGUGUCCCCUGCCAGGAUAAUGCUGGAAUAUUGCUAAAAGCGGCAUACUUACACGUACUCAUUUAUUUCUUUUGUCAACAAAAAUCUAUGCUCGAACCCUGCUGUUUCUGUAAGAUGAAUAGAAAAUAGACAUGCAAGCAGACUUCGUUUCAUAUUAAGGCCUCCAUUAGGGCAUGACAGUGUUUGUGUUCCUCAUGCCUUGUAUUCUGAAGUGUAACCAAUUGUGACAUGUUUUGUCUUGUAACUCAAAAUUGUGCUGGUUGUACUUGCACAGAAUUUAGUGAGUUGCUAUUUCAGUUUUGGGCUGGUAAUUAUCCUUUGUUGAAGUAAAUACUAGUAACACAAGUGGUAUACUGGUAUUUCUUCAUAAGAUUCUGAUACAUAUCCACCUGUGUGGAUUUCUUGUUUUUGUAUUUUGUUGUUUGAAAAUAUAAUAUUAUAACUUUCUCUGAAAUUCAAUGUUAAGCCCUACAGGGUAGGAGGUUUGUUUCUAGUGCAGGGCAGAAAGGUUACAGAUAUUCUUUAUAGAAGUUGUUCAAGUAUGCUGUUUCAGAAAUACAUGUAUUGCCCCUUCAUAAUUUUGAGGUUUAAAAUUAUUUUUUUGAUUUUAGUUUGUUGUAACAUCAUGGAUUCAUAUAUGUUCCUGAUACAACCGACCAUUUUACUGUUUUGUGAAUUUAUUGGAUAAUUUAUUCUAAAUGUACCUGAUAAUUGAGUUUAUAUUUUAUCACAAAACCUGAAUCACAGAAUGGUCACAAAAGUCUACAUGUAUUGUUUGAUAGGAUCUCUGCCAUAUGACUGGCAGCCCACAAGAUCUGGGUCCACUUGUACUAAGCUAUCUUAGAGCUACGAUGAUCGUUACUCCUAUACUAACAUAGACUUAAGAUAAUCACAGCGCAAAGAUCACUUCGCGCUGGUCAGCUGAAAGUAAGCAGAAGGUGGCCAGUUGCACUGAGAAGUCCAUUUCUCUGAGUAUACAGAUGAAUAACUUUCAUGUAUGUUUUGUCAUCAGUAGAAUCUAUUCAUCCAAGGUAGGGAUUCAUCAGAUGAAAUAAACAUAUCAUUAGUUGUUGGGCAGUUACUUUGGGAGUGUCCAAUGUUUUUAUUUCAGUAGCCUUUGUAACCAGUAGGAAAAUGCUUGCAUCUGAAAGAAAGUUGAAAAUGAGGUUGCACCAUUUAUGUGUAUUUAUAUCUGUACAUUUUUGUACAUCUGUUGAUUUUAGGUCUAAUGUUAUUUCUUGAUAUGUUGCAUCUCCUCGAUUCCAUGACAAGUCAACAUUAUGUUCUUUGGGAUUUUUGUUUUGUUUUUGUCUUAUUCAUAGUAUUUAUGUCCACUUGACUGAAUUUAUUUUAGACUUUGAAUUUACUUUAGAGUUUAGACUUGGCUUCACAGAAAUCAAAUGAUUCUUGUUGAUUACAAAAGCAACUCAUCUUGUCCUACUUCAUUGUUUCUUAGAAGAGUUAAAACAAUCUGCAGAACAGUGCUAAUGAUUUCAUAACAUUACUUUAGUUUUAGUUUUCUUUUGUUUUCUUCAGUGUUUGUCUGUAGUCUGAAACUUUGCAUACAUCGUGAAGUAAUGAUGUUUCUUAUCGUUGCUAACAUGGCUGUAACAAGGUAGUAGACAUGGCCACUUUGGCAGCCAUAUUGAAAAUGUUGAAAAUUACAAAAGUUAUUGUUCCAUUUAAAAUUAUUAGGUUAUGUAUAAAUAAAGAUGAAUAUGCAAUGUCAUUUUGCGGCGGUGGCUGAGUGGGUUAGAUCAUUGACUUUGUGUGUUUGGAUAAGGUGCCUGACUCUGAGAGUGUGCUUUUGAAUCUCAUAUUUAAGUCAAACCCCAGAGUUCUAGAAUUUGUACUUAACCAAGAAAUGAACUCCCAAAUGUAACAUAUGUUAUAUACAUCAUAAAGAUGUUUUCAUCUUUUGGCCCUAUUAUGACCUUGAACCUUCACAAAACCUUAAUAUACUGUACUAAUUCACUUUUAGCUUGUAAACAAGACUUUUAGUUCUAGUUGUCAUUUUCAUAGACUACCAAAAUCUAGUCAUGGACUAGAGUGAUCCAGUGACAAAACCUUGAGUCAUAUGCUGGUGUAUGUAAUUGUUCAUAUCAUAUUCACUUAUGAGUUAUAAGUAUUCAUGUGUCUAGUCCAAAUUUUCAUUUAUAGUGCUGUGGUGCAUCAGAAUAUACUGAAAGGUGUAAGCUGUAAGUUUGUUUUUUAUGUUAUUUUCCUUUGUUUUUGCAAUAUGUGUUUGUUUAUUCCUCACCAGCAAUGAAUAUCACCUUUUCAGAGAUUUAGUACACUAUUUAAGAAUGCCUGAUACAAUUGGUUGUAUCCAUUAGACAACUGUAGAUGUCACGUAGGCAAGUUGGAAGUGACAGACCACUUCUAAUUGUAAUACAUUGGCAUUUCAAAGAGGUUUUCCACUCCUGUUUCCAUUUGUGAGUACCAAUCUAGCAUUAAGUCUCUGUAUUACUUCAUGUAUUCGCAAUGAUAAAGCUAACAGGCAGCAUUUUUACAGAAACAGGGCCAAGAUACAGGGAACCUUUAUGAAAAUACUACUAAGAUAAAGAAUACUCUAUGCCAAUACACUAAAAUACAGGAAUACUUUAUGACAAUACACUAAAAUACAGGAAUCCUCUAUGACUAUACACUAAAAUACAGGAAUCCUCUAUGACAAUACACUAAAAUACAGGAAUCCUCUAUGACUAUACACUAAAAUACAGGAAUCCUUUAUGACAAUACACUAAAAUACAGGAAUCCUUAAUGAUAAUACACUAAAAUACAGGAAUGCUUUAUGAAAAUACACUAAAAUACAGGAAUCCUUUAUGACAAUACACUAAAAUACAGGAAUCUUCUAUGACAAUAUGGGGCGGUGGGGUAGCCUAGUGGCUAAAGCGUUGGCUCUUCACGCCGAAGACCCGGUAUCGAAUCCCCACAAGGGUACAUUGUGUGAAGCCCAUUUCUGGUGUCCCUCGACGUGAUGUUGCUAGAAUAUUGCUAAAAGUGGCGUAAAACCAAACUCAGGCAGUCAGUCUAUGACAAUACACUAAAAUACAGGAAUCCUCUACUGCUUGUGCAGUUAUCAAGAACAUGUUUGUUUAGCCCAGUGACUUUCUUCUGUAGUGUGUUUCCUGUCAUCUUCCUGAAAAAAUGUAAUUUGUGUAACCUUGCAUAAUUGAACCCUAGCUCUCCAGGAUUGUUAUCUUUAGUAAUGGUUUGGAUUAAUCUCUAGAUGUUUCAACUGUUUGGUGGAGUAUCUGGUGUCUGGGCUGGUCCCUUUCCAUAUCUUGUCAUUAAUAUAUUUAUGCACUUUUAUCCAGACCAUGUGAGAAUUGUAAUAAAACAAAUUCAAGAA
This 7512-nucleotide unclassified non-coding RNA is filed under the name Haliotis rubra (blacklip abalone). RNAcentral describes it as "uncharacterized LOC124258765, transcript variant X3". Lineage: Eukaryota; Metazoa; Mollusca; Gastropoda; Lepetellida; Haliotidae. The record is from RNAcentral.